RNAcentral lists this ribosomal RNA (305 nucleotides) under uncultured bacterium. RNAcentral's name for it is "bacterial SSU rRNA". It matches the Rfam family "Bacterial small subunit ribosomal RNA", at positions 337 to 659 of the family's 1533-position model. The record is from RNAcentral.
ACCUACGGGAGGCAGCAGUGGGGGAUUUUGCCCGUUUGUGGGGACCCUGAUGCAGCGACGCCGCGUGGGUGAAGAAGCGCCUCGGCGCGUAAAGCCCUGUCAGCAGGGAAGAAAAUGACGGUACCUGAAGAAGAAGCCCCGGCUAACUACGUGCCAGCAGCCGCGGUAAUACGUAUGGUGCAAGCGUUAUCCGGAUUUACUGGGUGUAAAGGGAGCGCAGGCGGCACGGCAAGCCUGAUGUGAAAGCCCGCGGCCCAACCGCGGGACUGCAUUGGGAACUACCGGGCUGGAGUGCCGGAGAGGUA